RNAcentral lists this ribosomal RNA (253 nucleotides) under uncultured bacterium. RNAcentral's name for it is "partial 16S ribosomal RNA". It matches the Rfam family "Bacterial small subunit ribosomal RNA", at positions 524 to 776 of the family's 1533-position model. The record is from RNAcentral.
UACGUAGGGGGCAAGCGUUGUCCGGAAUCAUUGGGCGUAAAGCGCGCGUAGGCGGCCCGGUAAGUCCGUUGUGAAAGUCCAGGGCUCAACCCUGGAAUGCCGGUGGAAACUGCCGGGCUGGAGUCCGGAAGAGGCGAGUGGAAUUCCUGGUGUAGCGGUGAAAUGCGCAGAUAUCAGGAGGAACACCGACGGCGAAGGCAGUGUUCUGGGCCAGUACUGACGCUGAGGAGCGAAAGCGUGGGUAGCAAACAGG